Microcebus murinus (gray mouse lemur) is the source of this 1048-nucleotide non-coding RNA. The record is from RefSeq and is a predicted model, not a curated record. Lineage: Eukaryota; Metazoa; Chordata; Mammalia; Primates; Cheirogaleidae.
AAGUGUGGGCAGAAGUCAGGCAGUCAAGAAGCGAAAUAAACACAGUCUGUUUCAUGCAGCAUUUCCAUUGUCCUCGUAGGAAUGAAAUAUCUGUGCAAGCACCAGCCGCAAGGUACAAGUUGUACCAUUCCCGUGAUUCCAUGUCUGAGUUAAGUACUUUUACAUGGGCAUUUAAAACUGGCAUUGCACAAUAUAAAGACUAAUGAUAGAAUUCGUGCUAAUUAUUUAUUUAUUUAUACUUAGUAUUACGUAACAAAUAAAAACCACCAUGACAAGUCAGAGAGAGAACACAGAAGAAAGGCAAAAGCUUUUUUUAGGUUUAGAACCUCUAAUGACACUUAUUCCUGCUUUUUAAAAAUAAUGGGUCCCACAUUUUCAUUUUGCACUGGGCCUUGCAAGUUAUGUGGCCAGCCCUGCUCACAGGCAAACUCCCUUGAGGCCACCUCUCUGAGCCUCUCCUGCAGCCUGGUUUCUCUGACAGCUGGGGCUUUGCGGGCUGCAGGGGUGGUGUUUAACAAGAAGGGGUGGGGAGGCAGAAGGAGAACUGUUGAGGUAUUUUUCAGCAGGAGUCUGACUACCCCGGGGCACUUAAGAGUCCUUUGAGGCCCCACCAUAACCUGUGAACAGCACUAUCACUAGCUGAGAAAACGCCAGGAUUGCUCACUCGCUCGCUCGCCAGCAGCCCAAAUCCCAGGCCCGUGGUUGCAGGAUGUCAGGGCUGAAGGACAUUCCAGCCGGAGGGGGAGAGGAAGGACGCAUUGUGCAGAUCCAUGUGGUGAUGUGGUAGAAAUCUGUGAGAUAUUUGGAUGUAAAAGUUCACAGCAUCUUUAAUUCUGAAGCAAUACCGUGCUAUGCAACUACGGCCGGAUGAAUGCAAUGCCAGCCCCCACCCUCUUGGAAGGCAGACUUCUACCACAAGAUGGGAAAAUGAAAGGGGAGAAUCGGAGAGUUUCCCAGUCUGCCUGACAGUGGUGGAAAAAACUCAGGACCCUUGGACUUUUUGCUUUGAGGCAUUUGAAUGGAAAUAAAAGUGAAUUGAUUCUUUUUG